RNAcentral lists this ribosomal RNA (497 nucleotides) under uncultured bacterium. RNAcentral's name for it is "partial 16S ribosomal RNA". It matches the Rfam family "Bacterial small subunit ribosomal RNA", at positions 28 to 507 of the family's 1533-position model. The record is from RNAcentral.
GAUGAACGCUGGCGGCGUGCCUAAUACAUGCAAGUCGAGCGAACGGACGAGAAGCUUGCUUCUCUGAUGUUAGCGGCGGACGGGUGAGUAACACGUGGAUAACCUACCUAUAAGACUGGGAUAACUUCGGGAAACCGGAGCUAAUACCGGAUGAUAUUUUGAACCGCAUGGUUCAAAAGUGAAAGACGGUCUUGCUGUCACUUAUAGAUGGAUCCGCGCUGCAUUAGCUAGUUGGUAAGGUAACGGCUUACCAAGGCAACGAUGCAUAGCCGACCUGAGAGGGUGAUCGGCCACACUGGAACUGAGACACGGUCCAGACUCCUACGGCAGGCAGCAGUAGGGAAUCUUCCGCAAUGGGCGAAAGCCUGACGGAGCAACGCCGCGUGAGUGAUGAAGGUCUUCGGAUCGUAAAACUCUGUUAUUAGGGAAGAACAUAUGUGUAAGUAACUGUGCACAUCUUGACGGUACCUAAUCAGAAAGCCACGGCUAACUACGUG